AUUGAACGCUGGCGGCAUGCCUUACACAUGCAAGUCGAACGGCAGCACGGGAGCAAUCCUGGUGGCGAGUGGCGAACGGGUGAGUAAAGUAUCGGAACGUGCCCAGUCGGGGGGGAUAACGUAGCGAAAGUUACGCUAAUACCGCAUACGAUCUAUGGAUGAAAGCGGGGGAUCGCAAGACCUCGCGCGAUUGGAGCGGCCGAUAUCAGAUUAGGUAGUUGGUGGGGUAAAGGCUCACCAAGCCGACGAUCUGUAGCUGGUCUGAGAGGCACGACCAGCCACACUGGGACUGAGACACGGCCCAGACUCCUACGGGAGGCAGCAGUGGGGAAUUUUGGACAAUGGGCGAAAGCCUGAUCCAGCCAUGCCGCGUGCAGGAUGAAGGCCUUCGGGUCGUAAACUGCUUUUGUACGGAACGAAAAGGUUUGGCCUAAUAAGCUGAGCUCAUGACGGUACCGUAAGAAUAAGCACCGGCUAACUACGUGCCAGCCGCCGCGGUAA
Molecule: ribosomal RNA, 501 nt
Filed under: uncultured bacterium
Lineage: Bacteria
Description: partial 16S ribosomal RNA
Rfam family: Bacterial small subunit ribosomal RNA
Source: RNAcentral